Molecule: ribosomal RNA, 446 nt
Filed under: uncultured bacterium
Lineage: Bacteria
Description: partial 16S ribosomal RNA
Rfam family: Bacterial small subunit ribosomal RNA
Source: RNAcentral
CCUACGGGAGGCAGCAGUCGAGAAUCAUUCACAAUGGGGGAAACCCUGAUGGUGCGACGCCGCGUGGGGGAAUGAAGGUCUUCGGAUUGUAAACCCCUGUCAUGUGGGAGCAAAUUAAAAAGAUAGUACCACAAGAGGAAGAGACGGCUACCUCUGUGCCAGCAGCCGCGGUAAUACAGAGGUCUCAAGCGUUGUUCGGAAUCACUGGGCGUAAAGCGUGCGUAGGCUGUUUCGUAAGUCGUGUGUGAAAGGCGCGGGCUCAACCCGCGGACGGCACAUGAUACUGCGAGACUAGAGUAAUGGAGGGGGAACCGGAAUUCUCGGUGUAGCAGUGAAAUGCGGAGAUAUCGAGAGGAACACUCGUGGCGAAGGCGGGUUCCUGGACAUUAACUGACGCUGAGGCACGAAGGCCAGGGGAGCGAAAGGGAUUAGAUACCCCAGUAGUC